Molecule: ribosomal RNA, 338 nt
Filed under: uncultured bacterium
Lineage: Bacteria
Description: partial 16S ribosomal RNA
Rfam family: Bacterial small subunit ribosomal RNA
Source: RNAcentral
CCUACGGGUGGCAGCAGUGAGGAAUAUUGGUCAAUGGGCGCUAGCCUGAACCAGCCAAGUAGCGUGAAGGAUGACUGCCCUAUGGGUUGUAAACUUCUUUUAUAUGGGAAUAAAGUGCACCACGUGUGCUGCUUUGUAUGUACCCUAUGAAUAAGGAUCGGCUAACUCCGUGCCAGCAGCCGCGGUGAUACGGAGGAUCCGAGCGUUUUCCCGAUUUAUUGGGUUUAAAGGGAGCGUAGGGGGGUUGUUAAGUCAGUUGUUAAAGUUUGCGGCUCAAACGUGAAAUUGCAGGUGAAACUGGCAGUCCUGAGUACAAGAGGAGUUAGCCGAAUUCGGGG